Molecule: ribosomal RNA, 242 nt
Filed under: uncultured bacterium
Lineage: Bacteria
Description: partial 16S ribosomal RNA
Rfam family: Bacterial small subunit ribosomal RNA
Source: RNAcentral
UACGUAGGGUGCAAGCGUUGUCCGGAAUUAUUGGGCGUAAAGAGCUCGUAGGCGGUUUGUUGCGUCGGCUGUGAAAUCCCGAGGCUCAACCUCGGGUCUGCAGUCGAUACGAGCAAACUAGAGUGUUGCAGGGGAGACUGGAAUUCCUGGUGUAGCGGUGAAAUGCGCAGAUAUCAGGAGGAACACCGGUGGCGAAGGCGGGUCUCUGGGCAACAACUGACGCUGAGGAGCGAAAGCGUGGG